CCUACGGGGGACAGCAGUGAGGAAUAUUGGUCAAUGGACGCAAGUCUGAACCAGCCAUGCCGCGUGCAGGAAGACGGCUCUAUGAGUUGUAAACUGCUUUUGUACGAGGGUAAACGCAGAUACGCGUAUCUGUCUGAAAGUAGCGUACGAAUAAGGAGCGGCUAACUCCGUGCCAGCAGCCGCGGUAAUACGGAGGAUUCAAGCGUUAUCCGGAUUUAUUGGGUUUAAAGGGUGCGUAGGCGGUCGGAUAAGUUAGAGGGGAAAUCCCGCGGCUCCACUUCGGAAUUGCCUCUGAUACUGUUCGGCUAGAGAGUAGUUGCGGUAUGCGGACUGUCUGGUGUAGCGG
This 346-nucleotide ribosomal RNA is filed under the name uncultured bacterium. RNAcentral's name for it is "partial 16S ribosomal RNA". It matches the Rfam family "Bacterial small subunit ribosomal RNA", at positions 338 to 681 of the family's 1533-position model. The record is from RNAcentral.